AACGAACGCUGGCGGCAGGCCUAACACAUGCAAGUCGAACGCCCGUAGCAAUACGGGAGUGGCAGACGGGUGAGUAACGCGUGGGAACGUGCCCUUCGGUUCGGAAUAACUCAGGGAAACUUGAGCUAAUACCGGAUACGUCCGUAAGGAGAAAGAUUUAUCGCCGAAGGAUCGGCCCGCGUCGGAUUAGCUAGUUGGUGAGGUAACGGCCCACCAAGGCGACGAUCCGUAGCUGGUCUGAGAGGANGAUCAGCCACACUGGGACUGAGACACGGCCCAGACUCCUACGGGAGGCAGCAGUGGGGAAUAUUGGACAAUGGGCGGCAAGCCUGAUCCAGCGAUGCCGCGUGUGUGAAGAAGGCCGGCGGGUUGUAAAGCACUUUCAGUAGGGAAGGAAAAGACCGAGUGCUAAUAUCACUCGGUCUUGUACGUUACUUACAGAAGAAG
This 447-nucleotide ribosomal RNA is filed under the name uncultured bacterium. RNAcentral describes it as "bacterial SSU rRNA". It matches the Rfam family "Bacterial small subunit ribosomal RNA", at positions 29 to 490 of the family's 1533-position model. The record is from RNAcentral.